GCCUACGGGAGGCAGCAGUAGGGAAUCUUCCACAAUGGGCGAAAGCCUGAUGGAGCAACGCCGCGUGGGUGAAGAAGGUCUUCGGAUCGUAAAGCCCUGUUGUUAGAGAAGAAAGUGCGUGAGAGUAACUGUUCACGUUUCGACGGUAUCUAACCAGAAAGCCACGGCUAACUACGUGCCAGCAGCCGCGGUAAUACGUAGGUGGCAAGCGUUAUCCGGAUUUAUUGGGCGUAAAGGGAACGCAGGCGGUCUUUUAAGUCUGAUGUGAGAGCCUUCGGCUUAACCGGAGUAGUGCAUUGGAAACU
Molecule: ribosomal RNA, 305 nt
Filed under: uncultured bacterium
Lineage: Bacteria
Description: bacterial SSU rRNA
Rfam family: Bacterial small subunit ribosomal RNA
Source: RNAcentral